CAUAGGGUAAAUCCUACAGAUGAAAAGAAACUCUAAUCAAUGUCGGUUAAAUCCAAAAUAUUGGAGGAUUUCAGAAUAAAUACGGCUACAGAUCAGAAAGCUUAACUCAAUAAGGAGCGGAGGAUUAAGUGUAUCGACACGCGCUCUCCUUCAUACCCCUGGUAACAGUGACAUCGGAACCUGUCAGCCAGCAUCUGGCGCUCAUUCUUAGUUUGAUCGAUGACGGUCACGGUGAAGGUGCCAUUCCGAUUAGACAGGAUCCGAUAGUUGCCGCGGCUCAGGUGCAGGUAGUGUAGUGCCUGUGGGUCUCUACGGACACAGCGACCAUUGUUCUGACACAGUGUUAAAAAUCUCACUCUUGAAGAAGUGAGGUUAAGAUCUCCCCAAAUGACGAAUCCUGCAGCACCCAAAGCAGCACUUUCUCCUAUUGUAUGCAUCAAGUCCUUCUGUCAAAUGAAAAUGAAUAAAG
This is a long non-coding RNA of Carassius carassius (crucian carp), 469 nucleotides long. RefSeq lists it as uncharacterized. The record is from RefSeq and is a predicted model, not a curated record. The transcript has 3 exons. NCBI's taxonomy places the organism in Eukaryota, Metazoa, Chordata, Actinopteri, Cypriniformes, Cyprinidae.